Molecule: long non-coding RNA, 232 nt
Filed under: Gossypium raimondii (Peruvian cotton)
Lineage: Eukaryota; Viridiplantae; Streptophyta; Magnoliopsida; Malvales; Malvaceae
Description: long non-coding RNA (GRAI_LNC004345)
Source: RNAcentral
UUUUUGUUUUUGUUUUUUGUUUUUUUUUUUUUGUUUUUUAGGCAUAAUAUUUCUUCACAUCAUCUGAGUUCACUGGAUUAGGUAAUUCUUUCCCAUCCAUCUCAGAGAGAAUCAGAGCCCCUCCUGAGAAUGCCUUUUUUACAACGUAUGACCCUUCCCAAUUUGGCGACCAUUUUCCUCGAAAGUCUUUUUGUAUCAGGAGGAUCUUUCUUAGUACCAGUUCCCCUUCGUG